UACCUAACUGUACACAAACUUGGCAUCUCCUGGGUGGCUCCUCUGACCAUGGACAUACACAAGUUCAUCACUUUGUGAACCAAGGUGCACUACUAUCCUGUAUAAUAAAAGCCUAAUAUGCCAA
Long non-coding RNA from Myotis daubentonii (Daubenton's bat), 124 nucleotides. RefSeq lists it as uncharacterized. The record is from RefSeq and is a predicted model, not a curated record. NCBI's taxonomy places the organism in Eukaryota, Metazoa, Chordata, Mammalia, Chiroptera, Vespertilionidae.